GAUGAACGCUGGCGGCGUGCCUAAUACAUGCAAGUCGAGCGAACAGACGAGGAGCUUGCUCCUCUGACGUUAGCGGCGGACGGGUGAGUAACACGUGGAUAACCUACCUAUAAGACUGGGAUAACUUCGGGAAACCGGAGCUAAUACCGGAUAAUAUAUUGAACCGCAUGGUUCAAUAGUGAAAGACGGUUUUGCUGUCACUUAUAGAUGGAUCCGCGCCGCAUUAGCUAGUUGGUAAGUUAACGGCUUACCAAGGCAACGAUGCGUAGCCGACCUGAGAGGGUGAUCGGCCACACGGGAACUGAGACACGGUCCAGACUCCUACGGGAGGCAGCAGUAGGGAAUCUUCCGCAAUGGGCGAUAGCCUGACGGAGCAACGCCGCGUGAGUGAUGAAGGUCUUCGGAUCGUAAAACUCUGUUAUUAGGGAAGAACAAAUGUGUAAGUAACUAUGCACGUCUUGACGGUACCUAAUCAGAAAGCCACGGCUAACUACGUG
RNAcentral lists this ribosomal RNA (497 nucleotides) under uncultured bacterium. Its description in RNAcentral is "partial 16S ribosomal RNA". It matches the Rfam family "Bacterial small subunit ribosomal RNA", at positions 28 to 507 of the family's 1533-position model. The record is from RNAcentral.